AAGAACAAACUUAAUACUAAGCUUCUCCCUUACACUGAAAAGUUUGUCCAUCGAAUGGACUGUUCUGU
Molecule: transfer RNA, 68 nt
Filed under: Papiliolebias bitteri
Lineage: Eukaryota; Metazoa; Chordata; Actinopteri; Cyprinodontiformes; Rivulidae
Description: tRNA-Val
Source: RNAcentral